AAGUAUUAACAGUUCUUUUAGAAUUUGUCUAGCAGGUUUUCUAGUUUUACUAAAACAACCUUC
This 63-nucleotide small nuclear RNA is filed under the name Carlito syrichta (Philippine tarsier). RNAcentral describes it as "U7 small nuclear RNA (ENSTSYG00000021083.2)". It matches the Rfam family "U7 small nuclear RNA". Rfam says of the family: Animal histone pre-mRNAs are spliced by a different mechanism than nuclear pre-mRNAs and self-splicing introns. Lineage: Eukaryota; Metazoa; Chordata; Mammalia; Primates; Tarsiidae. The record is from Rfam by way of RNAcentral.